Molecule: ribosomal RNA, 222 nt
Filed under: uncultured bacterium
Lineage: Bacteria
Description: partial 16S ribosomal RNA
Rfam family: Bacterial small subunit ribosomal RNA
Source: RNAcentral
AACGAACGCUGGCGGCGUGGAUUAGGCAUGCAAGUCGAACGCGAAAGAGGGAGCAAUCCCUCAAGUAGAGUGGCGAACGGGUGAGUAACGCGUGAAGAACCUGCCUUCAACAGGGGGAGUAACACUCCCAACGGGUGGCUAAUACCGCAUGAGACCACGGGUCCGGCAUGGACCUGAGGUCGAAGGGUGGCCUCUGCUUGCAAGCUACCGGUUGAAGAUGGC